AGCUUUGCACAGCAGCAACAUCCUAACCAGUGAGGCUUAUUUGAGGCAUGAUUACUGCUAACAGAAACCAAUCUGAAGCAGUGACAGCAGGCAAUGUUAGUGCUCAAACACCGCCUUUCCUCUCCAUUUUAGAAUUCUUUUUCUUGAG
RNAcentral lists this small nuclear RNA (148 nucleotides) under Cavia porcellus (domestic guinea pig). Its description in RNAcentral is "U4 spliceosomal RNA (ENSCPOG00000028420.2)". The record is from RNAcentral. Lineage: Eukaryota; Metazoa; Chordata; Mammalia; Rodentia; Caviidae.